This 1508-nucleotide ribosomal RNA is filed under the name Phocaeicola vulgatus. RNAcentral's name for it is "bacterial SSU rRNA". It matches the Rfam family "Bacterial small subunit ribosomal RNA". Lineage: Bacteria; Pseudomonadati; Bacteroidota; Bacteroidia; Bacteroidales; Bacteroidaceae. The record is from RNAcentral. RNAcentral also lists the same sequence under 1 other name.
AGAGUUUGAUCCUGGCUCAGGAUGAACGCUAGCUACAGGCUUAACACAUGCAAGUCGAGGGGCAGCAUGGUCUUAGCUUGCUAAGGCCGAUGGCGACCGGCGCACGGGUGAGUAACACGUAUCCAACCUGCCGUCUACUCUUGGACAGCCUUCUGAAAGGAAGAUUAAUACAAGAUGGCAUCAUGAGUCCGCAUGUUCACAUGAUUAAAGGUAUUCCGGUAGACGAUGGGGAUGCGUUCCAUUAGAUAGUAGGCGGGGUAACGGCCCACCUAGUCUUCGAUGGAUAGGGGUUCUGAGAGGAAGGUCCCCCACAUUGGAACUGAGACACGGUCCAAACUCCUACGGGAGGCAGCAGUGAGGAAUAUUGGUCAAUGGGCGAGAGCCUGAACCAGCCAAGUAGCGUGAAGGAUGACUGCCCUAUGGGUUGUAAACUUCUUUUAUAAAGGAAUAAAGUCGGGUAUGGAUACCCGUUUGCAUGUACUUUAUGAAUAAGGAUCGGCUAACUCCGUGCCAGCAGCCGCGGUAAUACGGAGGAUCCGAGCGUUAUCCGGAUUUAUUGGGUUUAAAGGGAGCGUAGAUGGAUGUUUAAGUCAGUUGUGAAAGUUUGCGGCUCAACCGUAAAAUUGCAGUUGAUACUGGAUAUCUUGAGUGCAGUUGAGGCAGGCGGAAUUCGUGGUGUAGCGGUGAAAUGCUUAGAUAUCACGAAGAACUCCGAUUGCGAAGGCAGCCUGCUAAGCUGCAACUGACAUUGAGGCUCGAAAGUGUGGGUAUCAAACAGGAUUAGAUACCCUGGUAGUCCACACGGUAAACGAUGAAUACUCGCUGUUUGCGAUAUACAGCAAGCGGCCAAGCGAAAGCGUUAAGUAUUCCACCUGGGGAGUACGCCGGCAACGGUGAAACUCAAAGGAAUUGACGGGGGCCCGCACAAGCGGAGGAACAUGUGGUUUAAUUCGAUGAUACGCGAGGAACCUUACCCGGGCUUAAAUUGCAGAUGAAUUACGGUGAAAGCCGUAAGCCGCAAGGCAUCUGUGAAGGUGCUGCAUGGUUGUCGUCAGCUCGUGCCGUGAGGUGUCGGCUUAAGUGCCAUAACGAGCGCAACCCUUGUUGUCAGUUACUAACAGGUUCCGCUGAGGACUCUGACAAGACUGCCAUCGUAAGAUGUGAGGAAGGUGGGGAUGACGUCAAAUCAGCACGGCCCUUACGUCCGGGGCUACACACGUGUUACAAUGGGGGGUACAGAGGGCCGCUACCACGCGAGUGGAUGCCAAUCCCCAAAACCUCUCUCAGUUCGGACUGGAGUCUGCAACCCGACUCCACGAAGCUGGAUUCGCUAGUAAUCGCGCAUCAGCCACGGCGCGGUGAAUACGUUCCCGGGCCUUGUACACACCGCCCGUCAAGCCAUGGGAGCCGGGGGUACCUGAAGUGCGUAACCGCGAGGAGCGCCCUAGGGUAAAACUGGUGACUGGGGCUAAGUCGUAACAAGGUAGCCGUACCGGAAGGUGCGGCUG